This 81-nucleotide ribosomal RNA is filed under the name Bison bison bison. Lineage: Eukaryota; Metazoa; Chordata; Mammalia; Artiodactyla; Bovidae. The record is from RNAcentral.
CGAUCUCGUCUGAUCUCGGAAGCUAAGCAGGGUCGGGCCUGGUUAGUAUCUUGGAUGGGAGACCACCUGGGAAUCCCGGGU